GUGAAAGUCUCAACCUGUCUCCUACCCUACCCCCCACCACCUGCUGCCCAUUAUAAGGAACAAUGAGUUCCCAUGGUUUGUAACUGACAGUGGUGCCAUAACGGAUCUCUAAGGAUACAACCUACCUCCAGUUAAGUGAGCAUUCUUGCUGCAGCAGGCCUGCUAGAAGAAGCCUGAGGCCUGAGCCCUGCC
Long non-coding RNA from Suricata suricatta (meerkat), 192 nucleotides. RefSeq lists it as uncharacterized. The record is from RefSeq and is a predicted model, not a curated record. Lineage: Eukaryota; Metazoa; Chordata; Mammalia; Carnivora; Herpestidae. The transcript is spliced from 3 exons.